AGGACAGUAGCUCAAUUGGUAGAGCACCGGUUUCCAAAACCGGGGGUUUAGGGUUCAAGUCCCUACUGUCCUGCCA
Molecule: transfer RNA, 76 nt
Filed under: bacterium
Lineage: Bacteria
Also listed under: 1 other name
Description: tRNA-Trp
Rfam family: tRNA
About the family: Transfer RNA (tRNA) molecules are approximately 80 nucleotides in length.
Source: RNAcentral